RNAcentral lists this long non-coding RNA (973 nucleotides) under Anser brachyrhynchus (Pink-footed goose). Its description in RNAcentral is "lncRNA (ENSABRG00000016071.1)". The record is from RNAcentral. Lineage: Eukaryota; Metazoa; Chordata; Aves; Anseriformes; Anatidae.
AUGGUCAUCAUCCAAGCAAGGCCACACCUGUAUAUAUUUUCGGAAAUGGCAAACGCUCCAUUUUCAGCAAAAUCUUUUCAAGCACUAACUGAGUAUUGUUUUUCCUGCACCUCUGGUAAACAAAUAUCACUUCUAAGGUCCUAAACCAUGUGUCUAAAACCAGCAAAUUACAGGAAGUCCUCCGCUUAUCAGGCAACCUCAAGGACAAGAUUUAUUAAUGCUGUCUAACCACCCAAGGAGGAAAUGGCUUAUGAUCUGAUAGAAAUUGCUGAGAAAUUGCAAAAACACUUGUGUGGCAAUGCUUCAGAUGGAGGACGAUGUGGAUGGCACUGGAUUUCGUGGCAGAAGGAAAGAGUGCAGGAGACUACUCCCCAGUUCACUUGAUUUUUACCUGAUGAUUUACAAGGAAUGUUGUAUAUUUGCAAAAGAAGCCUUUGUCCACUUUUCUGUAUAAAUUUGAUUUACUGAUUGCAAAGAUUAUAGUCUUUCUUUCUCUUCUAAGUAGAAUGACAAGACUUUCCAUCAUGCUAUUUUCAUUAGGGUGACAGCCUUUCAAUCCACACAUCUCUGACAUUUUUGACAAUGGUACUUGGCUGCCAACAAAAUAUUUUGCUACCUUUUUCUGGUUAAAAUUGGAGAUUCAAGCUGUGCAAUUUUUUGUUUUCCUUUUCCUUCCCCUGACUUUCUCUUUUGGCAGCUUAAAAUCUGUCUUAAUUGCUAAUUAUCCUUUACUAUUUGUAGUCUAUUAUUUCAUAAUAUCCUGAAAUGCACAGAAAAAUGUUAAGGUUUUGAUAGGUUUCGUUGCUGUAUCUUUUAUUUCAUAUAAAGAAUUAACUCCUGGAAAAACUAUACACUAAAUCUUAAACUUCUUGAAGAACAUUGCAAGUGGUUCAGUGAAAUUGGAUGUAGCAGAAGGUAUGCUAUUUAUGAGCUUCAAACGAACCACAAUAAAAUAUCUGAGCUUGAAUGAGCA